ACAGAGGUGCACCACCACAUCCAGCUAAUUUUUGUAUUUUUAGUGGAGACGGGGUUUCACCAUGUUGGCCAGGAUGGUCUCGAUUUCCUGACCUCAUGAUCCACCCGCCUUGGCCUCCCAAAGUGCUGGGAUUACAGGCGUGAGCCACCGUGCCCGGCCAAUUUCCUUAAUUUUCACAUAAUGAAAACAUAUGUUCUUUGGAGGCCACUAAUCAAAAACCACUGUAAAUGAGGUCUACUCAACUCUGAAAGCAAUACUAACAAAUAGAAGAUGUGUACUCGGUUUACAUCAUGGAAAUAAAGAUUUGUUUCACUAGUUUUGCUGCUGGAAGAGGAGAGAAGAUUCUCAUCGCACUGUCCCCACACUACGUAAUUCUAAGAAAUGGCAGGCAACUUAUACCACGAGGAUCCAGUCAACACUAAAGGGAUAAUGACAGUCUAAAUAUAUCCACUGACCACUUGAAAAAAAUAUGUUAAGUGGUGAAAUGAGCUUAAAGGUGAAAGAGUUCAAGAAGGUCUAACUAUGCAGUUUCCUGUUGACUGCGGUCAUCUGUUCCCUUUCGGGAAGCUCAAAGACUGACCAAGCUGGAAGAGGCAGCAUGCUUUCCCAAUAAGGGUGCUACAUUUCUGUGCACCAAUAGUCAGAAUCACAUAUUUAGUAGCAGGCAAGCAGCAGCAGGUGAAUGACAGAUAAGUUACUCUACCUAAUUAGAUUGAAAUACCAG
Molecule: long non-coding RNA, 724 nt
Filed under: Homo sapiens (human)
Lineage: Eukaryota; Metazoa; Chordata; Mammalia; Primates; Hominidae
Description: HSALNT0184111
Source: RNAcentral